RNAcentral lists this unclassified non-coding RNA (2616 nucleotides) under Hevea brasiliensis (rubber tree). The record is from RNAcentral. Lineage: Eukaryota; Viridiplantae; Streptophyta; Magnoliopsida; Malpighiales; Euphorbiaceae.
UUAAGGAUACACUCCUUAUCUGCUGCAUUCGGAAUAAAGAAUAAGACUAAUAAUAUUUGAGUGAUAAUCAAAACGACAAUUCUUGAAAUUUGGAAGCUAUUUGCAAUCGCAUUGCAAGCAGUACAUCUACACAGCUUAAGAAUAAGACCAAGAUCACCUUUAGCUCCAACACACCUUACCAGUAAUCAUUACGAGAGCAUUUCCCAUCCUUGAAAUGAUGGAAUCGAUUGGAAUCCCUCACCACAAUUUGUCUUCCUGAAGAUUGAAAAAAAGUACUUGAAUGCUGUGUGACAAUCUCCUCCACAAACUCUCAAAUUCUUAAAAACCAUUAAUGGUUUAAAUUUAGAUGCACUGAUGAAACCAACUGCAACAGCAAUUUUCUCACCGUGUUGAAACAAAUAUUGCUCCUUUUGCUCCUGCUCAACAUCAUGAAGAACAAAAUCUGUGUUUGGAACAUAGCCCAAUUCCUUUAUUUUUAGAGUCAAUUGAUCCAGUUCAUCAUAAAUCUCUAAAACUUGUGGGUGUGAAGGAUCACCCAUAUAGAACUUAUGCACUUUAUUUUCCACCUCGAUCCAGCUACAACCGCUUCUUUAGUCAAAUUUCUCUCUUUCGUGUUUUUUCUAGUUUCCGCCACUAUAUCCCAUUGACCAGUAGAAGCAUACAAAUUUGAUAGAAGGAUGUAUGCUCCAGCGUCAUUUGGGUCUUGCUCAAGAAUCAUCUUAGCAGCAUGUUUCCCAAGAUUUAUGUUACCAUGUACUCGACAAGCUCCAAGAAAAGUACGAAGUACCAAAGCAUCAGCCUUGAAAGGCAACGAGUUAAUGAAUUCCAUUGCUUACUCAAGACAUCCUGAUCGGCCUAGUAAAUCAACCAUACAAGCAUAAUGUUCCAUCCUUGGGACAAUACCAUGUUCCAUACUCAUUGACUUGAAGUGUUUCCAUCCCUCAGAAAUCAAACCCACAUGAAUACAGGCUGAUAAAACAGCAAUAAAUGUGAUCUCAUUUGGCCUCACAGCUGCCUCUAGCAUUUUGUGGAAGGUCUCCAAAGCCCUUACAGCAAAUCCAUGUUUUGAAAAAUCCGUGACCAUUGAAGUCCAAGAUAUAACAUUGCGAUCUCCCAUCCCAUUAAAAACUUGAAAAGCGGCUUCUAUAUCUCCGCAUCUGAAGUGCAUAUCAAUAGAACUGUGAAGGCCUGACUUGAAACCUGAUUGCAGUAUCCAAGCAUGGAUUUGCUCACCCUUACCAAUUGCACCAAUCCCGGAUGCUCUGCUCAAAAGGCUAGCAAAUGUAAAAGCAUCAACCUAUCCUCAAUUUCAAUAAAAAGUUCAAAUGAUUCUUCAGAAUUCAAACUCUUUGCAUAAGCAUUGACAAUUGUAUUGUAAGAAAUCAAAUUCUUCUCAAAUAGAACAUUAAAAGUUUUUCUAGCAUUUUCCAUAUCACCACACCGAGCAUCCAUGCUAAUAAGAGAAUUUCCUACACAAUUAACUGAUGCAAGUCCCAAUUUCACUGCAUAGGCAUAAACUUGUUCACCCAUACGCAGAUCAGAAAGAUUUGCACAUGCCUUAGAAUGCUAGAAAAUGUGAAAUGAUUUGUUUGACUCGUCCCUCAAUUAUUUCAAGGAAUAAUUCAACAGCUCCCAUUUCAUACUCUCAAUCUGCACAUACCCUGUAAUAAUUGCAAUCCAAGACAUAACAUUAUGAUCUGACAUCCGAUCAAACACCUUCCUAGAAUCACGCAUAGAUCCAUCAGUUGUCCACUUUGCAUGCAUAUCCAACAAACUACACCCAACGCAAAAAUACAAAAAUAGCCUGAUUUUGUGGCCCAAGAAUGCCAUUGUUGCCCAAAUGAUAACAAUCUCAAUUCUGCACAAGCUGAAACAAGCCCACUUAGUGUAUAUUUUAUCUGGCAUAUACUCACUUGAAACCAUAUUGAUAAAAAAAAUCAAUAGCACCGUAUGAAUAGCCCAAUUGCUGAAGCCUAGUUAUCAGCAAAGUCCAAGUAACAACAUUUCUCUCCGUCAUUUUAUCGAACAUCUUAUAUGCAGAAUCGAAAUCACCGCUUCCCAUCACAAACAUGUCGAUCAAAGCACACCCCACACACACACACACACACGCGAGAGUCAAAAUAUCCACUUUUUAUCACAGAUCCAAAAAUUAUUUGCCCGAGAGAAACAUUGUCCUUACUUGAACAAGCACGGAUAACUGCAGUAUAGCAGUACUCCUUAGGAUAAAAACCGCAAUUAAGCAUAUCAAUAUAUGUAUUUACAGCCUCAAAUUACAUUCUGUUAUUAGCAUAACAAGAGAUCGAAGCACUCCAUGAAACCAAAUCCCUCUUAUCCCCCAUACAUUCAAAUAUACAAUUGGCUUUGUCCCACUCACCACAUUUCGAGUAGAGGCUAAUCAGAGAAUUGAGAAUGACCGAGUCGAGCUCCAGUCCAGACUGAGUCAAGUAAUCAUGGAGGAGUUUACCCAGUUGGAAAUUAUUUGCACGGAUGCAGGAUUUGAGGAGAAGGGAGUAGGUGAUGAGGUCUGGAUGAGUCCCUUCUUGAGACAUGAUAUCAAGGACCGCCUCAUCCGCCACCUAGAUGCCGGCCGUCUCCGCAAAGCAAUCUCAACCCUUG